AACCGCGUAGCUCAGUUGGAAGAGCAUUGGGCUAGUAUUCCAAAGGUCGUAGGUUCGAAUCCGACCGUGGCCG
This 73-nucleotide transfer RNA is filed under the name Paramuricea clavata. It matches the Rfam family "tRNA". From Rfam's summary of the family: Transfer RNA (tRNA) molecules are approximately 80 nucleotides in length. Their secondary structure includes four short double-helical elements and three loops (D, anti-codon, and T loops). Lineage: Eukaryota; Metazoa; Cnidaria; Anthozoa; Malacalcyonacea; Plexauridae. The record is from Rfam by way of RNAcentral.